Molecule: ribosomal RNA, 461 nt
Filed under: Rhinomiris camelus
Lineage: Eukaryota; Metazoa; Arthropoda; Insecta; Hemiptera; Miridae
Description: partial 16S ribosomal RNA
Rfam family: Bacterial large subunit ribosomal RNA
Source: RNAcentral
ACCUGCCCAAUGAUUUGAUUUAAAUGGCUGCAGUAUUUUGACUGUACAAAGGUAGCAUAAUCAUUUGACUUUUAAUUGGAGCCUAGGAUGAAUGGUUGGACGAGAAAUACACUUUCUUCAUUUUUUUAUUAAAAAUUUAAUUUUUGGGUUAAAAUGCCUAAAUUUAUUUAUAGGACGAGAAGACCCUGUAGAACUUUAUUUAUACUAUAUUAUAUGGAUUUUUGUUUAUAUUUUUUAUAUUUAUGUAGCUAAAUUUUGUUGGGGUGACAGAAAAAAAAAUGAACUUUGUUUGAUAAUUUCAUUAAUUUAUGAUAUAUUGAUCCCUUAUAAGGAUUAAAAGAUUAAGUUACCUAAGGGAUAACAGCGUUAUUAUUUUGGAGAGUUCAUAUCGAUAGAAUAGAUUGCGACCUCGAUGUUGGAUUAAGAUUAAUGCCAGGGGCAGUAUUCUGGUAAUUGGGUCU